AUUGAACGCUGGCGGCAUGCCUUACACAUGCAAGUCGAACGGCAGCACGGGGCAACCUGGUGGCGAGUGGCGAACGGGUGAGUAAUGCAUCGGAACGUGCCAUUGAGUGGGGGAUAACGUAGCGAAAGUUGCGCUAAUACCGCAUAUUCUGUGAGCAGGAAAGCAGGGGACCGCAAGGCCUUGCGCUCUUUGAGCGGCCGAUGUCAGAUUAGCUAGUUGGUGAGGUAACGGCUUACCAAGGCGACGAUCUGUAGCGGGUCUGAGAGGAUGAUCCGCCACACUGGGACUGAGACACGGCCCAGACUCCUACGGGAGGCAGCAGUGGGGGAAUUUUUGGACAAUGGGCGAAAGCCUGAUCCAGCCAUGCCGCGUGAGUGAAGAAGGCCU
RNAcentral lists this ribosomal RNA (387 nucleotides) under uncultured bacterium. Its description in RNAcentral is "bacterial SSU rRNA". It matches the Rfam family "Bacterial small subunit ribosomal RNA", at positions 30 to 417 of the family's 1533-position model. The record is from RNAcentral.